This 243-nucleotide ribosomal RNA is filed under the name uncultured bacterium. RNAcentral describes it as "partial 16S ribosomal RNA". It matches the Rfam family "Bacterial small subunit ribosomal RNA", at positions 356 to 615 of the family's 1533-position model. The record is from RNAcentral.
GGGGAAUAUUGGACAAUGGGGGCAACCCUGAUCCAGCAAUGCCGCGUGUGUGAAGAAGGUCUUCGGAUUGUAAAGCACUUUCGACGGGGACGAUGAUGACGGUACCCGUAGAAGAAGCCCCGGCUAACUUCGUGCCAGCAGCCGCGGUAAUACGAAGGGGGCUAGCGUUGCUCGGAAUGACUGGGCGUAAAGGGCGUGUAGGCGGUUUACACAGUCAGAUGUGAAAAUCCCCGGGCUUAACCU